AAGGGCGUCACUUCCACUCUCAGACUGCUGGUCAAUGAGCCCUUGAACCUCUUCUGGGCUGCCAGAGUAUUUCAUGGAUAUCAAAAUCUCCUGCGUCAGGCUCACAGAGCAGAAGCCCUGACUGAAGGCUCACCCACACCAGCUACACGGGCUUUGGGAGCACUGAAGAGAUGGCUUGCUAUCAUCCAGCUAGGAUAAUCCACUUAAUAAAGUCCCAAGGACUGGUGCCUGAUUGCUAAGUGAUUUAGACACAGCCUUUCCCUGCACUGUUAAAACAUUUCCUGAAAGUCUUCAUUGGCCGUGGCAUGACUAUGCUAGCAGUGUCGUGCUCCCAGUACUUAGGAGCUGUGCUCCCAGUACUUUAGGAGUACUGCCUGUCUUUGAGACCAGGCGGUCCCUUGUAGAAGUGGGAUGGGAGCUGAUGCUUAACUGUAUAGGUGGGAAUACUUUUAACUCCCUUUAGAAAGAACUUAUCAAUAAGGCAAUAAACUUAUCAAUAAACUUGUUUGUUUACAUAA
This 518-nucleotide long non-coding RNA is filed under the name Mus pahari (shrew mouse). RNAcentral describes it as "lncRNA (MGP_PahariEiJ_G0006126.1)". The record is from RNAcentral. Lineage: Eukaryota; Metazoa; Chordata; Mammalia; Rodentia; Muridae.